Piliocolobus tephrosceles (Ugandan red Colobus) is the source of this 1666-nucleotide long non-coding RNA. The record is from Ensembl. NCBI's taxonomy places the organism in Eukaryota, Metazoa, Chordata, Mammalia, Primates, Cercopithecidae.
AGUAGUAAUGUUGUAGGUGAUAAAAAAGAAGGUAGUAUUAAUAAAAAACUAAAUAAAUUAGAAAAAACGUAAAGUUAUGUCUACAAUAGGAGAUCCAAAUAAAGUUAAGAGUUAUAUUAGUACCACUACAAAUGCAAAUAUGAACGAUAAUAAAAAUAUAGAUGGAAACAAUAACUGUAAUAAUAAAAAACACGAAACAAAAUCUAAAAAAAUCUACAAACAAUGAAACAUAUGAUAACAUAACAUAUGAAGAUAUGUUUAUAAAUAUUGAAAGUGAUUAUAGUUAUAAUAGUAAUGAACAAAUGAAUGAGUAUGGUAAUAAUAAAAAUGAUGAAGAAAAUAAUAAAAAUAAAAAAAUAAAAAUGCUAAAGAAUAUAUAACUAAAUUACAUUUUAAUAAUAUGAAUGUGAACAAUUUUUUUAAUAAAGAUGCAUUUUUUAUUUUAAAAAAACCAAAAGAAACAAUUAAAGUUAAUUCCAUUUCAUUAAAAAAUAAAACAAAACAAAAUAAAGGAACAAAUAAUACUGUUUAUGAUUGUGGUUUAAAAUAUAAUAUGUCUACAACUAACAGUACUCAGAAUAAUACAAAUAACGUGCAAAUUGAUAAAUUUAAUACUACUGUACCAUUACAUAACGAUAAUAAUAGUGGUACAUUUGAUAUUGAGUAUAAUAGUAAUAGCGAUUAUAAACACAAAGAAAAAAAAUAAUUAUAACAAUAUUAAUAAUACACAUAAAGAUAAUAACUUAACCGAUAUAUCUAAUAACUCUAAUGACAAAAUCAAAAAUAUUUAUUCAUUAAAUUGUAAUAAAAAUAACAAUAUAAAUGAAAAUAAUACAAAUAGUACAUCCGCAGUAGUUAAUACAGCAAACAAAAAUAAAUAUACUCCUUAUAAAACAUUAAACGAAUCAAUAAAUUUAAAUAAAGAGAUCAACUCGAAGGAUGCUGAUGGGGUUGAUAUUGUUAACGAGUUAGGUGGCAAUACAAAUGAAAUCGACUCAAAAAAGAUAAAUACAAAUGUAACCAAUACAAAUGUAACCAAUACGAAUGUAGCCAACACAAAUGUAGCCAAUACAAAUGUAGCCAAUACAAAUGUAGCCAAUACAAAUGUAGCCAACACAAUUGAAUCGAACAAUUUGUUUAUGUGGAAAGAUAUAUCAAAUAUUCAAAAACAAACAAUGUCAAUAAAUCAUAAUAAUAAUAAUAAUAAUAAUAAUAAUAAUAAUAAUAUAUAUAAAAAUUACGAAGAAAUAAAUUUUACUAUAAAUAAUGGUUCACCUGGUACAAAUAUAACUACUAAUGAGAAAAAUAAUAUAACAUGUACAGAAACAAAAAGAAAUUUAACUAAAUAUUUAAUGUUACCCGUUAAUAUAUCCGAAUUAUAUAUAAUGAAAAAGAGAAUAUUUCAAGAUCCUCCUGUUGGUUUACAGAAUUUAGGAAAUACGUGUUAUUUGAACUGCUUUUUACAAGCAUUAUAUAGUACAGUGGCAUUUGUUGUCAAUUUGUAUUUAUAUAAACUAGAUGACUGUAAUAGUCUUGAUAUAAAUAUUAAUAAUAUAAAUUAUUAUGAUGAUAUCAAUAAAAGUAAUAUUAAUCAUAACAUAAAUAAUAGUAAUAGUAAUGGUAAUACUAAUGGUAAUACUAAUGGUAAUACUAAUGGUAAUUAUAA